AUGACUAGAAGGCUUGAUAAUCUGUAGGAGAAAGGCCCUCAAUGAAUUUGCCUUGGCAAUUACAGCCAAUUCCCCCUUGUUUGAUGAUGAUGAUCUACCGGGUACCCUUCGGAAAUUCCUGUGAAGACUACAUCUGAAUGAUCCAGGAUGUUUGGUGGGAGAGCACAGACAAAUCCUGCCUUGUGCAGAUUGUUGUUGCUGUGAUUUUGAAUCUGAAGGUGCACGUUUUGAUGCCAUACAAUAAAAAUUAAUUAAUACACCUCUAUGAGACAGAGAGAGAGAGAGAGAG
This 289-nucleotide unclassified non-coding RNA is filed under the name Hevea brasiliensis (rubber tree). Lineage: Eukaryota; Viridiplantae; Streptophyta; Magnoliopsida; Malpighiales; Euphorbiaceae. The record is from RNAcentral.